UACGUAGGGGGCAAGCGUUGUCCGGAUUUAUUGGGCGUAAAGAGCGUGUAGGCGGUUUGGUAGGUCCGUUGUGAAAACUCGAGGCUCAACCUCGAGACGCCGAUGGAAACCAUCAGACUAGAGUCCGGAAGAGGAGAGUGGAAUUCCUGGUGUAGCGGUGAAAUGCGUAGAUAUCAGGAGGAACACCUGUGGCGAAAGCGGCGCACUGGACCACAACUGACGCUGAGGCGCGAAAGCUAGGGGAGCAAACAGG
Molecule: ribosomal RNA, 253 nt
Filed under: uncultured bacterium
Lineage: Bacteria
Description: partial 16S ribosomal RNA
Rfam family: Bacterial small subunit ribosomal RNA
Source: RNAcentral